This 852-nucleotide long non-coding RNA is filed under the name Apteryx owenii (little spotted kiwi). Its description in RNAcentral is "lncRNA (ENSAOWG00000012952.1)". Lineage: Eukaryota; Metazoa; Chordata; Aves; Apterygiformes; Apterygidae. The record is from RNAcentral.
ACGCCCCGCCCGGCGACGCCUUCCCGGGUGCCUUAAAGGGGCAGCGCCCCGGGAACCGGGAAGGGGCACGGUUACCGGAGGGGGAUGGGAGCGAUGGCGGCAGCGGCUCCCAGGGCCACAGCCCUUCAGGGACUGUUAACCCUGUGUCUCUGCUCUGAGGGACCAAGGCCUCGAGAAGCUCCUGUGAUGCUUUCACCCGACACGGACACCCUCCAACGCACACGGUGUUUCGUCACUGAGACACCCAGCGCUGCAGCUGGGAACCAAGUGCUCUGUGGUGACGGCGCCCCAGAAAUCCCAAGGCCCAAGGUUAGUGUCUCUCAUCGCAUCCCUAGGUGCCUAGGGAGAGGCUGAUGUCUCCAAGAACACAUCACCUGCUAAAAAUGCCUUAUAUGGAGACAGAAGUGAGUUUUUCCCAGCCGAAUACUGCCUGGAAGUCACUCUGUUCCUGCUGAAGUCUGGGUGCUCCAUUUCUAAGUGUGAGGCCAGAAAUGAGUGCAUAGCACGGUCGCUUUCAUGUGGGCCAGGCAACCGCAUCCAGGCAACUUCAGGCUGAAUUACCAGGAGACAACACAGAGCCACGGGGUGCCCACGCACAUGCAGGCUGUCAUGGCCCAUCUCUCCUCACGCCCAGAGGUUGCUGCUGGAACGUCGCUGCUGCUGAUUGAAAUGAAGCAACAGUCUUCUAUGAUGCUGAAGAGAAGGAAGUAUAAAAAGAAGCAAAAUAUUCAUGGUAUGGAGAUGGAGAGUUGUGUCUUGCUAUGUCCUGGUUUGGAGUGUCUCUUUACUUGCCUUCGCUCUCAAUCAACUUUUAAUUUGCUCUUAGCUCAGAUAAUUCUCUUCACUGCAUAG